AUGGGGGACUUUAACGAAAUUCUAUUCUCACAUGAGAAGGAAGGAGGGGCCCCUAGGCUGAUGGAGAUGAUGCAACAGUUCCAUGAUGCGUUAGUGGAUUGUGAACGGGAUGACAUUGACUUCUCCGGCGAUCAGUUUAUGUGGCGCAGAAGGAGAUUGAGAGAAAGGCUGCACAAAGGUGUUUGUAAUGGGGAACUCUAUGGUCUGUUCCCAAAUGCUAAAGUGAUCAACGUUGAACACAGCAAAUCGGACCUUGGACCGAUUGAUAGAGGCAAAGGUGUCCCAUCUUUCGAUGAGAAGGUCAUAAUCAUUUUGGAGGAGUAG
This 324-nucleotide ribosomal RNA is filed under the name Triticum aestivum (bread wheat). RNAcentral describes it as "partial small subunit ribosomal RNA". Lineage: Eukaryota; Viridiplantae; Streptophyta; Magnoliopsida; Poales; Poaceae. The record is from RNAcentral.